This 98-nucleotide transfer RNA is filed under the name Cellulomonas algicola. RNAcentral describes it as "tRNA-Ala". Lineage: Bacteria; Bacillati; Actinomycetota; Actinomycetes; Micrococcales; Cellulomonadaceae. The record is from RNAcentral.
CCUCGCGUGGCUCGCGGCGUCCGGGUGGACCCCUCGCGUGCGUCAGCUCGUGAUCCUGUCCGUGAGCCGCCCGGUGUUCGAGCACGUCGUGCGGCGAC